Molecule: long non-coding RNA, 619 nt
Organism: Apis cerana (Asiatic honeybee)
Lineage: Eukaryota; Metazoa; Arthropoda; Insecta; Hymenoptera; Apidae
Source: RefSeq, a predicted model, not a curated record
AAUAUAUAUUACAAUUACAAAAAUUGCAUUUUGAUCAUUGUUUUAAGAAAACUCACUAUUGGAAUAACCUCCAAAUUUGGUCAUAAUUUAAAGAAAAGUUAUUAUUGAAGAUCGAAUUAAGAUCAAUUUUUUGAUAAAAAAUCGAAGAUCGGUAUAUUUGACCAAAGAACGAGAAAGAGACAUCGGAAGAUGUGGAUGAAGAGACAUGGAGGAGUAGUCGAAAGAGAGGCAGCUCGGUUCAAUUUGACGAGGUGUAGGUAAACAGGGGAGAUCCGGCAAGUUUGUUUGGCUGUGGAGGCAACUACGACGACGUCCUUUAAUUUACGUUAGCACGUAACAUCGAUGUAACCGGGGUUCAGAGUAUCGGUUCUCUUCGCGAACUUAGUGACGACGAAUGGCGUGUACGCGUUCACCAUCGCCUUUAACCGUGCUUCGCGACUCGUGAUUUAACGCUGUCUGCGUAAACAAAAGGGGUGCCCUUUACAAAUAGUUAUCGUUUCUGUCUGUUAUAGGAAGCUAAAAAAAGAUAUUUAUACAUUUAAUUUUUUUUGCGAUAAUUCUGCAAAUAAGUGUGUAAAUAUAAAUUUAAAUAUAAAUAUAUUAAACAUAAAUAUGUAGG